This 261-nucleotide long non-coding RNA is filed under the name Nicotiana benthamiana. RNAcentral describes it as "long non-coding RNA (NBEN_LNC031882)". The record is from RNAcentral. Lineage: Eukaryota; Viridiplantae; Streptophyta; Magnoliopsida; Solanales; Solanaceae.
CCUUAUUGCCUCGUCCACCCUUAUUGCCUCGGCCACCCUUAUCACCCCAACCCACACCGUAUUUCACCGUGUUGCGGCGCGCAACCCGACCCCGCCUGACAGUUUUUCAAUUCACUACAACAAAUACAAGAAAUCAAUUAUGGCACAUUGUUAAAAUAGAUCCACAACAAGGAUAAUGAAACCCCAAAACUAGCAACAACCCUGUCCUCGUGUUCAUCAAAGUGGUACACAAUUUGGAUCAUCACAACAGUUAUUCACAAC